RNAcentral lists this ribosomal RNA (253 nucleotides) under uncultured bacterium. Its description in RNAcentral is "partial 16S ribosomal RNA". It matches the Rfam family "Bacterial small subunit ribosomal RNA", at positions 524 to 776 of the family's 1533-position model. The record is from RNAcentral.
UACGUAGGGGGCAAGCGUUGUCCGGAAUCAUUGGGCGUAAAGCGCGUGUAGGCGGCCCGGUAAGUCUGUUGUGAAAGUCCAGGGCUCAACCCUGGAAAGCCGAUGGAUACUGCCGGGCUAGAGUUCGGAAGAGGCGAGUGGAAUUCCUGGUGUAGCGGUGGAAUGCGCAGAUAUCAGGAGGAACACCUAUAGCGAAGGCAGCUCGCUGGGACGACACUGACGCUGAGACGCGAAAGCGUGGGGAGCGAACAGG